AGGACGAACGCUUGCGGCGUGCCUAAGAAAUGCAAGUCGAACGGAUCAGAGCAAUCUGGUUAGUGGCGAACGGUCGCGUAACACGUAAGGAACCUGCCUUAGAGUGGGGGAUAACAGCCCGAAAGGGUUGCUAAUACCGCAUACGAACUAUAGUCGGCAUCGACAUUAGUUUAAAGCCUUGUGCGCUUUAAGAUGGUUUUGCGGCCUAUCAGCUUGUUGGUGGGGUAAUGGCCUACCAAGGCUUUGACGGGUAGCUGGUCUGAGAGGACGAUCAGCCGGAUUGGGACUGAGAUACGGCCCAGACUCCUACGGGGGGCAGCAAUUAGGAAUCUUGCACAAUGGGGGAAACCCUGAUGCAGCGACGCCGCGUGGAGGAUGACGGCCCUCGGGUUGUAAACUCCUUUUGACAGGGAAGAAGAAUGUGACGGUACCUGUCGAAUAAGCCCCGGCUAACUACGUGCCAGCAGCCGC
This 471-nucleotide ribosomal RNA is filed under the name uncultured bacterium. Its description in RNAcentral is "SSU rRNA". It matches the Rfam family "Bacterial small subunit ribosomal RNA", at positions 26 to 518 of the family's 1533-position model. The record is from RNAcentral.